AGAAAGGCAAACUAUGGGUUUCCGUGUUCAACUUUGACUGUCUGUCUUAUAUGAAUUUUUUUUAUAAUUUGUAUUUUCAUUGUUGUUAGAUGAUAAAACAUGAUUAAUAUUUUAUACGUGACUUGUUUUUUUAAUUGUUUUCAUAAUUUUUUCAAAAAACACGGACGGUCAAAUGUUAGACACGGAAACUAGGGUUUGUCUUUUU
Molecule: microRNA precursor, 205 nt
Organism: Oryza sativa Indica Group (long-grained rice)
Lineage: Eukaryota; Viridiplantae; Streptophyta; Magnoliopsida; Poales; Poaceae
Rfam family: MIR812 microRNA precursor family
Source: Rfam